Non-coding RNA from Struthio camelus australis, 1607 nucleotides. Lineage: Eukaryota; Metazoa; Chordata; Aves; Struthioniformes; Struthionidae. The record is from RefSeq and is a predicted model, not a curated record.
GGCGGCGGCGCUUGGUUUUCUAGGGGCGCUCCUCCUUCCCGCGGUGCUUUGCAUUCCGCGGUGAGUCAGGAAGCGCGCUGGGAAACGCAAGGAGCGCGUAAAUACCGCGACGCUUGCGCCCUUCGCGAGGGCUGGGCAAGGAAGGCCGCGAAUGUGAAAAGGGUUUGGAAGGAAGUCACUACAGCGAAGUAAAACGGCAACUUAUGGCUAACGAACCCCUGGAAAAACUGGGAUUUAAAGACCUGAUAGAUGAGAAAUCAGAAGCAAAACCUGAAAAGCUAUAAUGAAGACGAGAAAACUUUGCUUGUGUGGAAUGCAUAACUCUUAUGUAGUACAUAUUGUACAUUUUGUUCAUGUUGGAGCAGGAAGUGUUUCCUGAAGGAAUGUUUUUUCCAAAAUUCUCUUUCCUAAAAUAAGAUUUUUGGAAUGAACGAAAGUGCUGCAAUUGUUUGCUUUAUUUCUGAAGUAUUUCACGCUUAACUUUUUUUUUUUUAUUUCCCUAGCCCAGCCUUAAAAGAUCCAUAAGAUUAUUUUGCACACGAGAAAACAAUUAUUGCCUGAGGUGUUCUCUCACAAAAGAACCCAGGUCUCUGGAUGAGAAGUAAAGUUCUAUUUAAAAAAAAUUGGGUAGAUUGGAUAGAUCUCAAACUUUAAGUCAGCUUUAUUUGAGUAUUGCUGACAUGCUUAGAGCAGUUACUUGUCAGUUGGAAAUAAAAUUGGUAUGGUACUUACAAACUGCUUUUAAUUAAAUACUAGUAGUGAUCCCCUCCUUUGGGAAGAUAUCCUUCUCACUCUGAUAUAUGAAAUACUUGGGUCCUGAUUUCCCCCCCCCCCCCCUCCCAUCUUUUUACCUUCGUCAUUGCUUGGAGAUUAUUCUAGUUCUACACACCAGUAAGAUAAUGAUCCUGCUUUUAUUUACAGUGCUAACGAUGUUCAUUCAACUUUAUUUCAUCAUUUAACUAGGAAUCUUUCAUGGUGGAUUUCAUCAUUUCUCCAGCUAGAGCAUUUUGCCUGUUCUUUUUCACAUCCUAAUGGUGAAACUGGGGUGGAGACAGGAGCAGUAUUUAUUUGUGUACUGAGUAAAUGUGAAUUGUAGAUCUGAAUGGACCCUUCCUCCUCCAAAGUGAUAAUUUCAUUCUUUUAAAAACAUUAAAAGACGGGGUAGAUCAGAAGUUAGAUAUCUAAAAAAUACAGUAUGUCAUUCCAAAAGACAUCAGCUGGGGCCCUUGCUUUGUCACAGUAAUGCAAUGACUGUACAGCAGAUUUUCAGUUGAGUCUGGGUAUGUCUUUAAGAUCCCUAACAGGUGUCUGUAAAAUUUAGUGUGAAUUAGCAGAGACAGCAGUGUUCCCUCUCAUGUACUAAUGCAAAUAAAUCUUUCUUAAUUAAUACUGAGCUCACCUCAGGGACUAUUAGAUAGCCCUCUGGAAAUAUGUCUCAAGCCGACAAUAAAUCUGAAGAUCUUCUGGUUGUAUUUUCCACUGUCUCUCUUCCCCGUCCCCCCUUUUAUUUUUUAAUCCAUUGGAUCAUUUUUCUGUGUAGCUGGCUCUUAAAAUGCAAGCUUCAUGGGGCAGGGCCUGCAGAUAUGGAUAAACUUUGUUCAUACCGA